AUCCGUGUUUUCUGUUAGUAUUUUUAACUGCAUGCCUCACAAAUUUGAGUUUUCUUGAUUUUCAGAUGAUGGAACGCCUAGCAGAAUCCCUCGUCGCUCAUCUACAAGAACAAGCAGUCUUGCCAGCACUCCUGGCCGCAAACUAACUGUGCCCUCUGUCAAUGGUGGGAGCACCUCUCGUAACCGCUCACCCUCAGGAACUAGGUCUGGUUCAAUCUCCCGAGCUUCUAGCAUACCAACAUUAACUGGAGUUGGAACAAGUCGAUCUCGGAUCCCAGUAUUUGUUGGACUGGCACAAAUGGACAGUCCGCGGCCUCUUCUUAGCAUGUCUUCAUCUUCUUCCUCUGGGUAUGGUCCAGUCAAUUCUUGCCUAAUCUGUCUUUUCUGUCGUAGUUAAUUUGGUCGUUUUUUUUUGUCGUGUGUUUGUUCGAUCCUUCUGUCAUCCAAGUUUUGUUUUCGUCCCUUGUCUUCCUUGGUUUUUACUCCAUCGUCUUAUUUUAGAUUUUUAAUUUCAGUUAACUUUGAAAUAAAAACUCCAAAUCAUUGUAUCAUAUUGAGAUUUAUUUUCAGUAUAAGCUUUGACUUUCUAAAAUGUAGCCAAAGGUGUUUUAAUUUUUGUU
RNAcentral lists this long non-coding RNA (620 nucleotides) under Bemisia tabaci. RNAcentral's name for it is "lncRNA ENSASIAIIG001486". Lineage: Eukaryota; Metazoa; Arthropoda; Insecta; Hemiptera; Aleyrodidae. The record is from RNAcentral.